This 451-nucleotide ribosomal RNA is filed under the name uncultured bacterium. Its description in RNAcentral is "partial 16S ribosomal RNA". It matches the Rfam family "Bacterial small subunit ribosomal RNA", at positions 30 to 523 of the family's 1533-position model. The record is from RNAcentral.
AUUGAACGCUGGCGGCAGGCUUAACACAUGCAAGUCGAGCGGGUGUAGCAAUACAUCAGUGGCAGACGGGUGAGUAACACGUGGGAACCUUCCUCGUUGUACGGGACAACUCAGGGAAACUUGAGCUAAUACCGUAUACGUCAGAGAGGAGAAAGAUUUAUCGCAAUGAGACGGGCCCGCGUCGGAUUAGCUAGUUGGUGGGGUAACGGCCUACCAAGGCGACGAUCCGUAGCCGAUCUGAGCGGAUGAUCAGCCACACUGGGACUGAGACACGGCGCAGAAUCCUUCGUGAGGCCGCAGUGUGUAAUGCUUGACAAGAAGCGCCAGCCUGAUCCAGUCAUGCCACGUGAGUAAAAGAAUCCUUUGGGCAGCAAAGCUCUUUUGCCAGUGAAGUUAAUUAAGGUACCUGUAGAAUAAGCCGCGGCAAAGAGCGUGCCAGCCACUCCUGUAA